This is a long non-coding RNA of Hemicordylus capensis (graceful crag lizard), 585 nucleotides long. RefSeq lists it as uncharacterized. The record is from RefSeq and is a predicted model, not a curated record. Lineage: Eukaryota; Metazoa; Chordata; Lepidosauria; Squamata; Cordylidae. The transcript is spliced from 3 exons.
GAAACAAUGAGGGUAACCUGGUGGAGAAGCGCAGCUAGGAAGACAGUAAUAUAUCUCUUUCCGAUUCAUCCUUAACUCACUUUCAAGCCUGGCCAACAGAUGCAGGAAAAUGAGGAGAGAACUGUAAAGGCUAUGAUUAAAAAACAGGUGCUGGGCUGGGCUUUCCAUUGACAAUUACCGAAUGAAGCACUCCAGAGCGACAAGAUAAAUACUUCCUGAGGAACCUCUAAGACCAUGAGGAAAAGAAGGUCUACGUUUCUGUCAAGGGAUGCAGAACAAGAUGCAGCUAUCGGCAGAGAAACGUGUAUUAGGAUGUCAUCUUCUUGAAUGAAUAUGAGAUUUCAUUACAGCCUGAUGGAGCUUUUAGACAAAGGAAGACCCUGAAGACAUACCUGUUUUCCAAGGCCUUCAACUGAAACUCUUUUUAAAUUUUUUAUGUGUUAUUAAUGUGUUUUUAUUUGUUAUAUUUUAUUUUUAUGAAAUUUAAAUGUGUUAUGUGUUAUGUUUUUAAUUCUGUACACUACCUAGAGAUUUUUUAUACUAGGCAGUAUAUAAAUUCAAUAAAUAAAUAACUUUACCAAAUAA